Molecule: ribosomal RNA, 253 nt
Filed under: uncultured bacterium
Lineage: Bacteria
Also listed under: 1 other name
Description: partial 16S ribosomal RNA
Rfam family: Bacterial small subunit ribosomal RNA
Source: RNAcentral
UACAGAGGUCUCAAGCGUUGUUCGGAAUCACUGGGCGUAAAGGGUGCGUAGGUGGCGUGGCAAGUCAGAUGUGAAAGCCCGGAGCUCAACUUCGGAACUGCAUCCGAUACUGCCAUGCUAGAGCACUGAAGAGGUGACCGGAAUUCUCGGUGUAGCAGUGAAAUGCGUAGAUAUCGAGAGGAACACCAAAGGCGAAGGCAGGUCACUGGGCAGUUGCUGACACUGAGGCACGAAGGCCAGGGUAGCGAACGGG